Molecule: ribosomal RNA, 410 nt
Filed under: uncultured bacterium
Lineage: Bacteria
Description: bacterial SSU rRNA
Rfam family: Bacterial small subunit ribosomal RNA
Source: RNAcentral
AACGAACGCUGGUGGCAUGCCUAACACAUGCAAGUCGAACGAGACCCCAACUUCGGUUGGACGUCUAGUGGCGCACGGGUGCGUAACGCGUGGGAAUCUGCCCUUAGGUUCGGAAUAACUCGGAGAAAUCCGAGCUAAUACCGGAUAAUGACGUAAGUCCAAAGAUUUAUCGCCUAAGGAUGAGCCCGCGUAGGAUUAGCUUGUUGGUGAGGUAAAAGCUCACCAAGGCGACGAUCCUUAGCUGGUCUGAGAGGAUGAUCAGCCACACUGGGACUGAGACACGGCCCAGACUCCUACGGGAGGCAGCAGUGGGGAAUAUUGGACAAUGGGCGAAAGCCUGAUCCAGCAAUGCCGCGUGAGUGAUGAAGGCCUUAGGGUUGUAAAGCUCUUUUACCCGGGAUGAUAGUGAC